Molecule: ribosomal RNA, 314 nt
Filed under: Escherichia coli
Lineage: Bacteria; Pseudomonadati; Pseudomonadota; Gammaproteobacteria; Enterobacterales; Enterobacteriaceae
Description: bacterial SSU rRNA
Rfam family: Bacterial small subunit ribosomal RNA
Source: RNAcentral
AAAUUGAAGAGUUUGAUCAUGGCUCAGAUUGAACGCUGGCGGCAGGCCUAACACAUGCAAGUCGAACGGUAACAGGAAGCAGCUUGCUGCUUCGCUGACGAGUGGCGGACGGGUGAGUAAUGUCUGGGAAACUGCCUGAUGGAGGGGGAUAACUACUGGAAACGGUAGCUAAUACCGCAUAACGUCGCAAGACCAAAGAGGGGGACCUUCGGGCCUCUUGCCAUCGGAUGUGCCCAGAUGGGAUUAGCUUGUUGGUGGGGUAACGGCUCACCAAGGCGACGAUCCCUAGCUGGUCUGAGAGGAUGACCAGCCAC